This 253-nucleotide ribosomal RNA is filed under the name uncultured bacterium. Its description in RNAcentral is "partial 16S ribosomal RNA". It matches the Rfam family "Bacterial small subunit ribosomal RNA", at positions 524 to 776 of the family's 1533-position model. The record is from RNAcentral.
CACGUAGGCACCAAGCGUUGUCCGGAUUUACUGGGCGUAAAGCGCACGUAGGCGGAUCGUUAAGUCAGGGGUGAAAUCCUGGGGCUCAACCCCAGAACUGCCUUUGAUACUGGCGAUCUCGAGUCCGGAAGAGGUGAGUGGAACUCCUAGUGUAGAGGUGGAAUUCGUAGAUAUUAGGAAGAACACCAGUGGCGAAGGCGGCUCACUGGUCCGGUACUGACGCUGAGGUGCGAAAGCGUGGGGAGCAAACAGG